AUUGAACGCUGGCGGCAUGCUUUACACAUGCCAGUCGAACGGUAACAGGCCGCAAGGUGCUGACGAGUGGCGCACGGGUGAGUAAUGCAUCGGAACGUGCCCAGUCGUGGGGGAUAACUACUCGAAAGAGUAGCUAAUACCGCAUACGAUCUAUGGAUGAAAGCGGGGGACCGUAAGGCCUCGCGCGAUUGGAGCGGCCGAUGUCAGAUUAGGUAGUUGGUGGGGUAAAGGCUCACCAAGCCAACGAUCUGUAGCUGGUCUGAGAGGACAACCAGCCACACUGGGACUGAGACACGGCCCAGACUCCUACGGGAGGCAGCAGUGGGGAAUUUUGGACAAUGGGCGCAAGCCUGAUCCAGCAAUGCCGCGUGCAGGAAGAAGGCCUUCGGGUUGUAAACUGCUUUUGUACGGAACGAAACGGCUCUGGUUAAUACCCGGGGCUAAUGACAAUACCGUAAGAAUAAGCACCGGCUAACUACGUG
Molecule: ribosomal RNA, 482 nt
Filed under: uncultured bacterium
Lineage: Bacteria
Description: partial 16S ribosomal RNA
Rfam family: Bacterial small subunit ribosomal RNA
Source: RNAcentral